AUGAUGAACCGAUGCAAGCUGAUUUGGAGGCACUCAAACAUGAUCCUUGAAAGCGGAUUCCCAUCUCAGUAUAUGCUGUCAAUGACCAAGAUAGAGUUGUGUAGAGCUUUGCAAAAGCGAGACGAAGAUAUUGUUCAUGCUAUUGAGCUUAUUGCUGACACAAAGUAUUACUUGGAGGCUUUGAGGACCGAUGCUGGAUGGGAUGAUUUUCUCACAAAGGUCACAUCUUUUUGUGCGAAGAAUAAGAUCAAAGUUGUUGAUAUGGAGGGUCCUUACUUUCCCGUUGGCCGGCCUAGAAGGGGUUUAUGUAAUGGUCUGACCAAUUACCACCGCUUCAAGGUUGAUAUGUUUGUGGGUGUCAUUGAUAGGCAAAUCGGUGAGCUGAAUGGCAGAUUUGAUGAGAGAUGA
Molecule: ribosomal RNA, 408 nt
Filed under: Triticum aestivum (bread wheat)
Lineage: Eukaryota; Viridiplantae; Streptophyta; Magnoliopsida; Poales; Poaceae
Description: partial small subunit ribosomal RNA
Source: RNAcentral